This 490-nucleotide ribosomal RNA is filed under the name uncultured bacterium. RNAcentral describes it as "partial 16S ribosomal RNA". It matches the Rfam family "Bacterial small subunit ribosomal RNA", at positions 30 to 507 of the family's 1533-position model. The record is from RNAcentral.
AUUGAACGCUGGCGGCAGGCCUAACACAUGCAAGUCGAACGGUAACAUGAAGAAGCUUGCUUCUUUGCUGACGAGUGGCGGACGGGUGGGUAAUGUCUGGGAAACUACCUGAUGGAGGGGGAUCACUACUGGAAACGUUAGCUAAUACCGCAUAACGUCGCCAGACCAAUGAGGGGGCCCUUCGGGCCUCUUGCCAUCGGAUGUGCACAGAUGGGAUGAGCUAGCAUGUGGGGUAACGGCUCUCCUAGGCGACGAUCCCUAGCUGGUCUGAGAGGAUGACCAGAUAGCCUGGAAGAGAGACACAGUCCAGACACCUACGGGAGGCAGCAGUGGAGAAUACUGCGCGAUGGACGAAAGCCUGAUGCAGCAAAGCGGCGGGUAGGAAGAACGACUUAGGGUUGUAGAGUGAUUUCAGCGGGGAGGAAGGAAGUAACGUUAACACCUGAGCUCAUUGACGUCACCCGCAGAAGAAGCACCGGCUAACUCCGUG